UUGGUAUCCUGAUGCAAUUG
RNAcentral lists this non-coding RNA (20 nucleotides) under Mus musculus (house mouse). Lineage: Eukaryota; Metazoa; Chordata; Mammalia; Rodentia; Muridae. The record is from RNAcentral.